UAGAGAAAUAGAAGACUACAUAGCUAUUACUAAGCUGUACUCAGAAGAGAUAUAAAAGGCCACAAAUAUGUUACCCAAAAAAUGUAUGGGUUUGUAGUAACAUCUGCUGAUACAGAUAUGUGUAACAUGGUAAAAAUUAGAAUUACUAUCACAAGAUAUAAUACUAUCUUUCAACUAGUCCGAAAGAGUACCAGAAGAAUCAACUCGGACCUCAAAUAAGGCAUUUGAAGGAAUUCCAUUAGAUAUGUUCUCUCCUUCCACAUGUUGAACCCUUGGUUUUUUCGGGAAUUGAAUAUACUUUCAAAGGCAGUAGAUUGUGUAAGGAGCUCCUCAAGACUUUCUGGUCAGACUUUAGCCCCUUCAUUUUCACUCGAAUGCAGAGAGCAUUUCGAAUUAUAUUAAAAUUGUUGUCCUGCCAGAUCACCAAGAAAAAACAAAACAAACAAACAAACAAACACAAAAUUUCCAUAAAGAUCACUCUUUUAGCUAAAACACAUAUGGCUUAUCUUAUCAGAUCAAAACUAAACCCAUUACACACACACCAUGAAAACACAAAAAUUCCACAAAGAUCAGUGUUUAAGCCAAAGACACAUAUAAAUUAUCUUAUCAGAUGAAUCACAGAUAAAAAAUCAAACCAAUUAACAAAAUCUUUCUACUUAAACACACACACACACACACCAAGAAAUCACAGAAACUCCAUAAAGAUCAUCUUGCCAAAACCUAGAUAGCUUAUCUUUUCAGAUCAAUCACAAAUCAAAAACUAAACCCGUUAAAAAGAAUUUCUACUAAAACACACACACACACACGCACCAAGAAAAAAUAAAACAACAAAAAUAAGAGUGCAAUUAAAAGCUGCAAUAAAAGCAAAAAAGGGAUGAAAUUCAACUCAUUAUUUUGAUUGUAUUGGAAGUUGAAAAUUGGGGGAAAUUGGAAGAGAUUGAAGGGUUAAAGCUCAAGGCUCAAGAACGUGAUGUUCUAUGAAUGUAAAGCUAAAGGAGUGACAGAUUAAUCAUAUCCGUUUGAAAAUCCAUCAAGAAGCUGCAAAACCAGGAAUGUUUCAAUGUGCCACUGGAAUGUAAACUCCAAAUGAGUAAGGGAAGAAGCUCCCAAUUAUCAACAGUGUGCCAAAACAGGAUGGAAUGAAGCUCCUAACACCAGUUGAGUAGGAGGAAUGCAUCAGUGACAUGAAUGUUCCUAGACAAAUGCGUCUAUAUUUUAAUAUAUAUAGAUCCACUUUGAAGUGACAUCGCAAGUGCAAUUUAACGGGAGAGUUCUUAAGUAGCAACAAUGUAUGAGUACAAGCUUGCAUGUGGGAGGAUAUGAUAAUUGGGUAAAUAAAGUAAUAUCAUUUAUA
Nicotiana tabacum (common tobacco) is the source of this 1354-nucleotide non-coding RNA. Lineage: Eukaryota; Viridiplantae; Streptophyta; Magnoliopsida; Solanales; Solanaceae. The record is from RefSeq and is a predicted model, not a curated record.